This 66-nucleotide transfer RNA is filed under the name Pterostichus melanarius. RNAcentral's name for it is "tRNA-Cys". It matches the Rfam family "tRNA". From Rfam's summary of the family: Transfer RNA (tRNA) molecules are approximately 80 nucleotides in length. Their secondary structure includes four short double-helical elements and three loops (D, anti-codon, and T loops). Lineage: Eukaryota; Metazoa; Arthropoda; Insecta; Coleoptera; Carabidae. The record is from RNAcentral.
AGUUUUAUAGUUUAAAUUAAAACAUUAAAUUGCAAAUUUAAAAAUAGAAAUGAAUUCUUAAAACUU